GCCGGAGUAGCCAACUUGGUGACGGCGCGUGUCUGAAAAACACGAGAUCGCAGUUCGAUUCUGCGCUCCGGCA
RNAcentral lists this transfer RNA (73 nucleotides) under Candidatus Portnoybacteria bacterium CG02_land_8_20_14_3_00_45_8. RNAcentral describes it as "tRNA-Phe". It matches the Rfam family "tRNA". Rfam says of the family: Transfer RNA (tRNA) molecules are approximately 80 nucleotides in length. The record is from RNAcentral. Lineage: Bacteria; Candidatus Portnoyibacteriota.